Molecule: ribosomal RNA, 717 nt
Filed under: uncultured bacterium
Lineage: Bacteria
Description: bacterial SSU rRNA
Rfam family: Bacterial small subunit ribosomal RNA
Source: RNAcentral
GUCGAACGCGAAAGUCCCGCAAGGGAUGAGUAGAGUGGCAAACGGGUGAGUAACACGUGGGUGACCUGCCUUCGAGCGGGGGAUAACGCCCCGAAAGGGACGCUAAUACCGCAUGACAUCCUGCCUUUGAAGAGGUGGAGAUCAAAGCUGGGGAUCGCAAGACCUAGCACUUGAAGAGGGGCCCGCGCCUGAUUAGCUAGUUGGUGGGGUAACGGCUCACCAAGGCAACGAUCAGUAUCCGGCCUGAGAGGGCGGACGGACACACUGGGACUGAGACACGGCCCAGACUCCUACGGGAGGCAGCAGUGGGGAAUUGUUCGCAAUGGGCGCAAGCCUGACGACGCAACGCCGCGUGGAGGAUGAAGACCUUCGGGUCGUAAACUCCUUUCGAUCGAGACGAAUGGCUUCCGGGUGAACAAUCCGGGAGAAUGACGGUACCGAGAGAAGAAGCCCCGGCUAACUCCGUGCCAGCAGCCGCGGUAAUACGGGGGGGGCAAGCGUUGUUCGGAAUUACUGGGCGUAAAGGGCUCGUAGGCGGCCAACUAAGUCAGACGUGAAAUCCCUCGGCUUAACCGGGGAACUGCAUCUGAUACUGGAUGGCUUGAGAUUGGGAGAGGGAUGCGGAAUUCCAGGUGUAGCGGUGAAAUGCGUAGAUAUCUGGAGGAACACCGGUGGCGAAGGCGGCAUCCUGGACCAACACUGACGCUGAGGAGCGAA